This 72-nucleotide transfer RNA is filed under the name Cavia porcellus (domestic guinea pig). It matches the Rfam family "tRNA". Rfam says of the family: Transfer RNA (tRNA) molecules are approximately 80 nucleotides in length. Their secondary structure includes four short double-helical elements and three loops (D, anti-codon, and T loops). Lineage: Eukaryota; Metazoa; Chordata; Mammalia; Rodentia; Caviidae. The record is from Rfam by way of RNAcentral.
GAGCAUGUAGCUUAGGGGUAGAGCGCUUGUCUAACAAGCAUGAAGCCCUGGGUUCAAUCCCCAGCAUGGCCA